UGGUUAAUCCAACGGUCCAAAUUCAAUUUUUUUUUAAAUUUAUAAUUACAUUAAUCGAAUGGUUGUGGUCGAAUAUAAGCAAAUCUAACUAUAUAAAAAAGAGAGGAUUUGACGGUACAAAUUCAUGUAGUAUUUUAAUUGUCGUUUGUAUUAUUGUUUUAAGAUCGAAUUAUGAACUUUUGUUUAAGAAUGAGGUAGGUUGUGCAAUUUUUCAUUAUUUAUCAGAAUUUAAAUAUUUUUAGAUCAAAAUAUUCAUAAAAAUAAAUUAGGAUAAUCCACAUAAGUUUUAUUUUUCAAAGAGUUAAAAAAAAAGCUAAAAUCAAUUUUUAAUAAUCUCGGGCUAAAAUUUUAAACCAUAACCAUUGGAGAAUAAAAAUUAUUCCUGGAUUAUUGCUUAAAAUUUUUUGGUUUAAAAUUUUAAGCUUCAUCUCCAACUAUUGUAGACGGUCUUAGAAGACUUUGUUUGACAAUGGUGUCGUUGUGAAAUAGAACAAAGGAGAACUAUUCUAGGGAAUGUGAUUGUAAUGGGAUAAUUUAGGUGUUACCGUAUCAUGAUUACAUGAGUUACUAAUUAACUCAUAUUAUAAUAUUUGUAUAUAAAUUAAUUUUUCUUCAAGUAAAUAUGUGUUGUUGUCUCAUUUAAUACGUGAACUAAUACUAUUACGUGCAUAAUAAUAUUACAAUAUAACAAUAAUUUCUCAAUGCAAAGACUUUCAUAUCCUUGCUUAAUCCUAUAUAAGUGUCGUUGAACAAACCUAUGAGGCUUUAAAGAUUCCCGAAUUUGAACGAAGUUGUCUCCCUAAAAUGAAAAUAAACAUUGUUUGAGUUAGGUUUUUUAGUGAAAAUUAUCUUUGAGACUGACAUAACUUCUUAUUUUAGUCCAUACCAAUGAAAAUUAAUAGUCCCUGAAUUUGUCCACCGUAAAUCAUUUUGGUUAUUCCAUGAAAAAUUUGUCAAUAUCCUCGUUAAAUUGUCACGUGAACGACCACGUGAUCACCUUUUAAAAGUAUUUUUGUCAAAUAAAUCUCUCUACUUGAUGAAGAUAAUGACAUUUUUUUUUCUUCAGAAUAACCAUUAUUUAUGGUGGACAAACUUAAGAGCGACUUCAAAAAACUAUUGAUUUUCAUUGGUCAAUAAAGUGAGGAAUUAUAUCAAUAUCAGAGAUCGUUUUAAUUGAAUACAUUAAUCGAAUGAUUGUGAUCGAAUAUAAGCAAAUCUAACCGUUAAAAAAAAAAAAAGAUGAUUAACGGUAAAAAUUUAUUUAAUGUUUUAAUUGUCGUUUGUAUUAUUGUUUUAAGAUUGAAUUAUGAACUUUUGUUUAAGAAUGGAAUAGGUUGUUGUAAAUUAAUUUCGGAAUUUAAAAUAUAUAAAUUAGAAUAAUCCACAUAAUUUUUUAAAAUAUUUUAAAAGACUAACAUUACCUAAAAAAAAUAAAUUUUAUUUUUGUUUAAAAAAAUCUCUAAAAUCAGGUUUAAAAUUUUAAGCUAUAACCAUUGAAGGAUAAAACUUGUUUCUGGGUUAUUGCUUAAAAUUUAAGUUUCAUCCCAAACCAGUGGAGACGGUUGUGAACACGGAAAAUUCCUGAAACGAAAGAGACAAGAACAACGUGCACAAACAAAUAUUUGUGUUUGAUUUGAUGAUUUUGGGUUACAAUCUCUCUCUAUUUUGAUCCUCUGAUUCGAUCUCCGUAAGGUGUUGAUUUAUGGAUGUGCGAUUGAUCCA
RNAcentral lists this long non-coding RNA (1722 nucleotides) under Malus domestica (apple). Its description in RNAcentral is "long non-coding RNA (MDOM_LNC006582)". Lineage: Eukaryota; Viridiplantae; Streptophyta; Magnoliopsida; Rosales; Rosaceae. The record is from RNAcentral.